UGAACGCUGGCGGUAGGCCUAACACAUGCAAGUCGAACGGCAGCACAGUAAGAGCUUGCUCUUACGGGUGGCGAGUGGCGGACGGGUGAGGAAUACAUCGGAAUCUACUUUUUCGUGGGGGAUAACGUAGGGAAACUUACGCUAAUACCGCAUACGACCUACGGGUGAAAGCAGGGGAUCUUCGGACCUUGCGCGAUUGAAUGAGCCGAUGUCGGAUUAGCUAGUUGGCGGGGUAAAGGCCCACCAAGGCGACGAUCCGUAGCUGGUCUGAGAGGAUGAGCAGCCACACUGGAACUGAGACACGGUCCAGACUCCUACGGGAGGCAGCAGUGGGGAAUAUUGGACAAUGGGCGCAAGCCUGAUCCAGCCAUACCGCGUGGGUGAAGAAGGCCUUCGGGUUGUAAAGCCCUUUUGUUGGGAAAGAAAAGCAGCAGGUUAAUACCCCGCUGUUCUGACGGUACCCAAAGAAUAAGCACCGGCUAACUUCGUG
RNAcentral lists this ribosomal RNA (490 nucleotides) under uncultured bacterium. RNAcentral's name for it is "partial 16S ribosomal RNA". It matches the Rfam family "Bacterial small subunit ribosomal RNA", at positions 30 to 507 of the family's 1533-position model. The record is from RNAcentral.